CCUACGGGAGGCAGCAGUGGGGAAUAUUGGGCAAUGGGCGCAAGCCUGACCCAGCAACGCCGCGUGAAGGAAGAAGGCUUUCGGGUUGUAAACUUCUUUUAAGAGGGAAGAGCAGAAGACGGUACCUCUUGAAUAAGCCACGGCUAACUACGUGCCAGCAGCCGCGGGAAUACGUAGGUGGCAAGCGUUGUACGGCUUUAGUGGGUGUAAAGGGCGUGGAGCCGGGGUGACAAGUCAGAUUGGAAAUCCGGGGGCUCAACCCCCGAACUGCAUUUGAAACUGUUGGUCUUGAGUAUCGGAGCGGCCGGCGGAAUUCCUAGUGUAGCGGUGAAAUGCGUAGAUAUUAGGAGGAACACCAGUGGCGAAGGCGGCCUGCCGGACGACAACUGACGGUGAGGCGCGAAAGCGUGGGGAGCAAACAGGAUUAGAUACCCGAGUAGUC
Molecule: ribosomal RNA, 442 nt
Filed under: uncultured bacterium
Lineage: Bacteria
Description: partial 16S ribosomal RNA
Rfam family: Bacterial small subunit ribosomal RNA
Source: RNAcentral